ACAGCAGCAGCCACGGUAAUACGUAGGGUGCAAGCGUUAAUCGGAAUUACUGGGCGUAAAGCGUGCGCAGGCGGUUAUAUAAGACAGAUGUGAAAUCCCCGGGCUCAACCUGGGAACUGCAUUUGUGACUGUAUAGCUAGAGUACGGCAGAGGGGGAUGGAAUUCCGCGUGUAGCAGUGAAAUGCGUAGAUAUGCGGAGGAACACCGAUGGCGAAGGCAAUCCCCUGGGCCUGUACUGACGCUCAUGCACGAAAGCGUGGGGAGCAAACAGGAUUAGAUACCCCCGUAGUCCCUGUCUCUUAUAU
RNAcentral lists this ribosomal RNA (305 nucleotides) under uncultured bacterium. RNAcentral describes it as "partial 16S ribosomal RNA". It matches the Rfam family "Bacterial small subunit ribosomal RNA", at positions 505 to 809 of the family's 1533-position model. The record is from RNAcentral.